AUGAGAAGUGAUCAAGUUCCUGUCCGUGAAAUCUCAACCUUUGAAAUUUUCUUCAGCUUCGCGGUUGUGCUACAAGAACAGAAAGGCGACAACAUGCAAAUAUCCAGAAGAAGAAAUGGUUGCAGAGUCUCUCUCUCUCCACGGAAUGCCUCCCAGAUAAAAUUCCUCCAUGGUCCAAGCACUGAUGCAUCUGAAGUUCACGAGAGAGCAGAGGAGCGGUGUUCGCUGCAGCUUGUUGCAGCCACACAUAUGGGUAGAAGGCGGACCUGCACAACCGGCACAUGGAGUUCAACAAUGGUGUGGCUGCUUGAAAGUGCGCUGGAGAGGGACUACCGAUGUUGA
RNAcentral lists this ribosomal RNA (342 nucleotides) under Triticum aestivum (bread wheat). Its description in RNAcentral is "partial small subunit ribosomal RNA". The record is from RNAcentral. Lineage: Eukaryota; Viridiplantae; Streptophyta; Magnoliopsida; Poales; Poaceae.